CCCUUAGAUGUUCUGGGCCGCACGCGCGCUACACUGAUGCAUUCAACGAGUCUAAAACCUGGUCUGAUAGGGCUGGGUAAUCUUUUGAAUGUGCAUCGUGAUUGGGAUAGAUGAUUGCAAUUCUUCAUCUUCAACGAGGAGUGCCUAGUAAACGCAAGUCAUCGGCUUGCAUUGAUUACGUCCCUGCCCUUUGUACACACCGCCCGUCGCUCCUACCGAUUGAAUGUUCCGGUGAAUACCAUGGACUGAGAGUAUGAAUGGGUUCGCCUAUUUCUGCUUCUCGGGAAGUGGAGUAAAUCUUAACAUUUAGAGGAAGGAGAAGUCGUAACA
Molecule: ribosomal RNA, 330 nt
Filed under: uncultured eukaryote
Lineage: Eukaryota
Description: partial 18S ribosomal RNA
Rfam family: Eukaryotic small subunit ribosomal RNA
Source: RNAcentral